GACUAACACCCUAACUGCUCUACUUUUUACUCAUAACAAAUCACUCCACAGUAACUAUUCCAGUACCAGAACUUUCAAUCACUAUAACUAUAAUAAACCAUAUAUGUGCAUAAUUCUGCAUGAUUUAAUUAUUUUCACUCCUAGAAGAAUUAGGAAUUCCAUCACUUGUCAUGUUCCUUGUUCAUUUAAGAAACCAAAAUUUAACUAAUGACAUAUACAACCAGUCAUCAGUUCACACUUCUAAAGACCAAGUUUUCCCAUCCAAAUCUUUUCAAAAUCCAUUCUCACAGCCCAUUGGAAUAAGUCAAGUUCAAGAAAACGCAAAAGUGAUCAACCUUAAUAAAUGAAAUAUUAACCAGGUGAUGAUUGAAGAAAAAUUAAAGGGAUUAGGUCAAAGAAUAGCAAUGUACAGCGAAAGCAAGGAAAGUUGGG
This 432-nucleotide unclassified non-coding RNA is filed under the name Hevea brasiliensis (rubber tree). Lineage: Eukaryota; Viridiplantae; Streptophyta; Magnoliopsida; Malpighiales; Euphorbiaceae. The record is from RNAcentral.